This is a long non-coding RNA of Planococcus citri (citrus mealybug), 1182 nucleotides long. RefSeq lists it as uncharacterized. The record is from RefSeq and is a predicted model, not a curated record. The transcript is spliced from 3 exons. Lineage: Eukaryota; Metazoa; Arthropoda; Insecta; Hemiptera; Pseudococcidae.
CGAAAGCGAGAGUGUUUUUACCCGAGCAGCCUACGAGCUAUAGGAAAAGAGUACUGUAAGCGAGUAGGCGGGGGGUGGUUAGACACGCCGCACAACUAGAACGAAGCGAGAACGGCUCUCCGCACCAUGUUAUUACGAGCAGCAAGCAUUUAUGCGUACUAGCGAGUAGGCGCGGGGUAGAGGUAAACCGAACGCAACGAGAACGAAAAGGAACGGCUCCCCUCGUACCAUUGCAACGAAGCAAAGAGUCGUUUUGCGUGUAAGCGAGUAGGCGGGGAGUGGUUACGAGCCGAAUACGACGAGCCGGUUGCAUUGUAACAGGCAACCAACUGAUAAGAAAAAUAUUUCGAUCGAAUGAAAAGGCAGAUGGUUUGGCUAUUGUGCUUUGCGUUGAGUUGUGAAAUAUGUUGAAAUGUGUUUGAUUGUUGAAAUGUGAAUUUUUUUUCGUGAUUUUUUGGCAAUUAUUACGGUAAAUUGCGAUCGGUGGUGAAUAAAAAGUAAUUUUUCGUGUUCGUGAUCGUAUUUGCGGUUCGAUUAAGGUGAGAAAUUUUGAAUUACGGUGAUUUUUCACGAAAUGAGCAGCUUCGUGCAUGUUUGGGGUUGGAAAAUUUUGUAGCAGAAAUAUUCUUGCCGAAAUCUGAGUAAGUCCAAUUUAAAAUAAUAUUAAUACGCGAUUUUCUAUGUUCAUAGCCGAGGAGUAUUGUGUUUCGUACAUCUGGAGUGCGUAGUUAGCCAAAAAUCGUGGAAAUUUCAAAAAUCGAGAAGCUCUCGUCGCGUGUGCUUGCUAAAAGAACAAAACGAGCAGCAACGUGGUGAAAGUUGAGGUUGGAAAUUCCUUUGAGUUGCCAGAAAGUUUUUCUCGAUUAGUAAUUGCGACUUUGGUUGGACGAAGCUUUUAUUGGAAAGCUGAUUAUUGGACGGAGUGUUAUUUUUUGAUCGUUUGAUGAGAAUUAUUGACGCUGGAAAAAGGUGAGUAGAACUUAGCAUGAGCCAAUGUGUUUCGUGCCACCUCGAGUAGUUUUUUUGUAAUCAUGUUGAAAGUGAACUGCUCAGGUAGUAACUUGUCUCGAUUGCCUGUUUCAGCUGAAGAAUUCGAUGUUGUAAUUGAAGUCGAUUCGUGUGACGAAGUUUUUUUUUGACGCUGAAAAAUAGGUGAGUUGAGUUGGAAUAUUACGAGCACGG